CCACAUAUUAAACCAUCAUUCCAAAAGAUAAAAAAAUCAACUGUAUUUAAAUUAUCACGCUUUUGUAUCAUCAAAUGAAAUAUCUUUCAGUUCUAAGGACAGUUUUAAAAGAAGUCUUUAAUUGUUUAUUUGACCAAAAAUUCUUAGCACUCAUAUGUAAAUAUCUCAAAAAUGCUAUCUUUCAACAAAAAACUCAAAAUUAAUUAUGGAAUGGAAAACUCAUUGUCCCUUUUUGAAGUGUAAUAUUCAAUUAUUUAGAAACAAUCUACCAUUGUCAGAGAUAAUUGUUCUCUUAAGGCAACGGAACUUUGGACGAUGGACAAGUUAGAUUUUACUCUUUACUGCAUCUUCUUAUACUAAGACUUGUUUGUCAACACCUGGAAAUAAUGGUGUACCCUAAAUAAUUACCCAAGUACCUCUCACGUUUUUGUCUUUCCAACUUGGGUAUUAAGCAGAGGUUGGAGGAAUAUCAAGUAUAUCAUAACGAUAUUUAAUUCGACACUUGAUCUGUUAAUGACGUUGAAAGACCUCGUAAUAAACUUGAAAUAAAAUUCACAACAAAGUCCAACAUGAUAAGUUUUAUGUAUUAAAAAUAUUAAAUAAUGUUCAGAUAAGAACAUCGACAAAA
This is a long non-coding RNA of Chelonus insularis, 628 nucleotides long. RefSeq lists it as uncharacterized. NCBI's taxonomy places the organism in Eukaryota, Metazoa, Arthropoda, Insecta, Hymenoptera, Braconidae. The transcript is spliced from 2 exons. The record is from RefSeq and is a predicted model, not a curated record.